This 2195-nucleotide ribosomal RNA is filed under the name Pseudomonas aeruginosa. RNAcentral describes it as "bacterial LSU rRNA". It matches the Rfam family "Bacterial large subunit ribosomal RNA", at positions 3 to 2236 of the family's 2925-position model. The record is from RNAcentral. Lineage: Bacteria; Pseudomonadati; Pseudomonadota; Gammaproteobacteria; Pseudomonadales; Pseudomonadaceae.
UCAAGUGAAGAAGCGCAUACGGUGGAUGCCUUGGCAGUCAGAGGCGAUGAAAGACGUGGUAGCCUGCGAAAAGCUUCGGGGAGUCGGCAAACAGACUUUGAUCCGGAGAUCUCUGAAUGGGGGAACCCACCUAGGAUAACCUAGGUAUCUUGUACUGAAUCCAUAGGUGCAAGAGGCGAACCAGGGGAACUGAAACAUCUAAGUACCCUGAGGAAAAGAAAUCAACCGAGAUUCCCUUAGUAGUGGCGAGCGAACGGGGAUUAGCCCUUAAGCUUCAUUGAUUUUAGCGGAACGCUCUGGAAAGUGCGGCCAUAGUGGGUGAUAGCCCCGUACGCGAAAGGAUCUUUGAAGUGAAAUCGAGUAGGACGGAGCACGAGAAACUUUGUCUGAACAUGGGGGGACCAUCCUCCAAGGCUAAAUACUACUGACUGACCGAUAGUGAACCAGUACCGUGAGGGAAAGGCGAAAAGAACCCCGGAGAGGGGAGUGAAAUAGAACCUGAAACCGUAUGCGUACAAGCAGUGGGAGCCUACUUGUUAGGUGACUGCGUACCUUUUGUAUAAUGGGUCAGCGACUUAUAUUCAGUGGCAAGCUUAACCGUAUAGGGUAGGCGUAGCGAAAGCGAGUCUUAAUAGGGCGUUUAGUCGCUGGGUAUAGACCCGAAACCGGGCGAUCUAUCCAUGAGCAGGUUGAAGGUUAGGUAACACUGACUGGAGGACCGAACCCACUCCCGUUGAAAAGGUAGGGGAUGACUUGUGGAUCGGAGUGAAAGGCUAAUCAAGCUCGGAGAUAGCUGGUUCUCCUCGAAAGCUAUUUAGGUAGCGCCUCAUGUAUCACUCUGGGGGGUAGAGCACUGUUUCGGCUAGGGGGUCAUCCCGACUUACCAAACCGAUGCAAACUCCGAAUACCCAGAAGUGCCGAGCAUGGGAGACACACGGCGGGUGCUAACGUCCGUCGUGAAAAGGGAAACAACCCAGACCGCCAGCUAAGGUCCCAAAGUUGUGGUUAAGUGGUAAACGAUGUGGGAAGGCUUAGACAGCUAGGAGGUUGGCUUAGAAGCAGCCACCCUUUAAAGAAAGCGUAAUAGCUCACUAGUCGAGUCGGCCUGCGCGGAAGAUGUAACGGGGCUCAAACCACACACCGAAGCUGCGGGUGUCACGCAAGUGACGCGGUAGAGGAGCGUUCUGUAAGCCUGUGAAGGUGAGUUGAGAAGCUUGCUGGAGGUAUCAGAAGUGCGAAUGCUGACAUGAGUAACGACAAUGGGUGUGAAAAACACCCACGCCGAAAGACCAAGGGUUCCUGCGCAACGUUAAUCGACGCAGGGUUAGUCGGUUCCUAAGGCGAGGCUGAAAAGCGUAGUCGAUGGGAAACAGGUUAAUAUUCCUGUACUUCUGGUUACUGCGAUGGAGGGACGGAGAAGGCUAGGCCAGCUUGGCGUUGGUUGUCCAAGUUUAAGGUGGUAGGCUGAAAUCUUAGGUAAAUCCGGGGUUUCAAGGCCGAGAGCUGAUGACGAGUCGUCUUUUAGAUGACGAAGUGGUUGAUGCCAUGCUUCCAAGAAAAGCUUCUAAGCUUCAGGUAACCAGGAACCGUACCCCAAACCGACACAGGUGGUCGGGUAGAGAAUACCAAGGCGCUUGAGAGAACUCGGGUGAAGGAACUAGGCAAAAUGGCACCGUAACUUCGGGAGAAGGUGCGCCGGCUAGGGUGAAGGAUUUACUCCGUAAGCCCUGGCUGGUCGAAGAUACCAGGCCGCUGCGACUGUUUAUUAAAAACACAGCACUCUGCAAACACGAAAGUGGACGUAUAGGGUGUGACGCCUGCCCGGUGCCGGAAGGUUAAUUGAUGGGGUUAGCGCAAGCGAAGCUCUUGAUCGAAGCCCCGGUAAACGGCGGCCGUAACUAUAACGGUCCUAAGGUAGCGAAAUUCCUUGUCGGGUAAGUUCCGACCUGCACGAAUGGCGUAACGAUGGCGGCGCUGUCUCCACCCGAGACUCAGUGAAAUUGAAAUCGCUGUGAAGAUGCAGUGUAUCCGCGGCUAGACGGAAAGACCCCGUGAACCUUUACUGUAGCUUUGCACUGGACUUUGAGCCUGCUUGUGUAGGAUAGGUGGGAGGCUUUGAAGCGUGGACGCCAGUUCGCGUGGAGCCAUCCUUGAAAUACCACCCUGGCAUGCUUGAGGUUCUAACUCUGGUCCGU